CGUCAGCUCGUGUCGUGAGAUGUUGGUUAAGUCCGCAACGAGACGCAACCCCUAUUGUUAGUUGCCAUCAUUCAGUUGGGCACUCUAGCGAGACUGCCGGUAAUAAACCGGAGGAAGGUGGGGAUGACGUCAAAUCAUCAUGCCCUUAUGACCUGGGCUACACACGUGCUACAAUGGUUGGUACAACGAGUUGCGAGUCGGUGACGGCGAGCUAAUCUCUUAAAGCCAAUCUCAGUUCGGAUUGUAGGCUGCAACUCGCCUACAUGAAGUCGGAAUCGCUAGUAAUCGCGGAUCAGCACGCCGCGGUGAAUACGUUCCCGGGCCUU
RNAcentral lists this ribosomal RNA (326 nucleotides) under uncultured Streptococcus sp. RNAcentral's name for it is "bacterial SSU rRNA". It matches the Rfam family "Bacterial small subunit ribosomal RNA", at positions 1053 to 1382 of the family's 1533-position model. Lineage: Bacteria; Bacillati; Bacillota; Bacilli; Lactobacillales; Streptococcaceae. The record is from RNAcentral.